Molecule: RNA transcript, 1121 nt
Organism: Nomascus leucogenys (northern white-cheeked gibbon)
Lineage: Eukaryota; Metazoa; Chordata; Mammalia; Primates; Hylobatidae
Gene name: vesicle-associated membrane protein-associated protein A pseudogene
Exons: 1
Source: RefSeq, a predicted model, not a curated record
UUAGGAAUGUGAAAGUGAUGGUUCUCAAAAAAUCAAUCUGGAAGCAGAUCUGCCAACCUAAGAAUGUGGUUGAACAGAGUCUAACUAGGAAAAGGAGAGAUGCAAACUCGCUCCCCCUCCCCCCUCGCCAUCGUCACCCGCCCCCAGCGAGCAAACCGCCCCCUACUCUGCGCUGUCUCUCCGAUGGCGUCCGCCUCUGGGGCCAUGGCGAAGCACGAGCAGAUCCUGGUCCUCGACCCGCCCACAGACCUCAAAUUCAAAGGCCCCUUCACAGAUGUAGUCACUACAAAUCUUAAAUUGCGAAAUCCAUCGGAUAGAAAAGUGUGUUUCAAAGUGAAGACUACAGCGCCUCACCGGUACUGUGUGAGGCCCAACAGUGGAAUUAUUGACCCAGGGUCAACUGUGACUGUUUCAGUAAUGCUACAGCCCUUUGACUAUGAUCCGAAUGAAAAGAGUAAACACAAGUUUAUGGUACAAUUUUUGCUCCACUAAACACUUCAGGUAUGGAAGCUGUGUGGAAAGAGGCAAAACCUCAUGAAUUAAUGGAUUCCAAAUUGAGAUGUCUAUUUGAAAUGCCCAAUGAAAAUGAUAAAUUGAAUGACAUGGAACCUAGCAAAGCUGUUCCACUGAAUGCAUCUAAACAAGAUGGACCCAUGCCAAAACCACACAGUGUUUCACUUAAUGAUACCGAAACAAGGAAACUAAUAGAAUAGUGUAAAAGACUUCAGGGAGAAAUGAUGAAGCUAUCAGAAGAAAAUCGACACCUGAGAGAUGAAGGUUUAAGGCUCAGAAAGAUAGCACAUUCGGAUAAACCUGGAUCAACCUCAACUGCAUCCUUCAGAGGUGUCACCAGUCCUCUUCCUUCACUUCUUGUUGUAAUUGCAGCCAUUUUCACUGGAUUCUUUUUCUUUUUUUGGAGACGGAGUCUUACUCCUGUUGCCCAGGCUGGAGUGCAGUGGCAUGAUCUGGGCUCACUGCAACCUCCGUCUCCUGGGUUCAAGCAAUUCUCCCACCUCAGCCUCCCGAGUAGCUGGGAUUACAGGCGCUGGUCACCACACCCAGCUAAUUUUUGCAUUUUUAGUAGAGAAGGGGUUUUGCCAUGUUGGCCAGGCUGGUCUUGA